This 107-nucleotide small nuclear RNA is filed under the name Tupaia belangeri chinensis (Chinese tree shrew). Lineage: Eukaryota; Metazoa; Chordata; Mammalia; Scandentia; Tupaiidae. The record is from RNAcentral.
GUGCUCGCUUUGGCAGCACAUAUACUGAAAUUGGAAUGAUACAGAGAAGAUUAGCAUGGCCCCUGCUCAAGGAUGACAUGCAAGUUUGUGAAGCUUUCCAUAUUUUU